This is a long non-coding RNA of Vombatus ursinus (common wombat), 214 nucleotides long. RefSeq lists it as uncharacterized. NCBI's taxonomy places the organism in Eukaryota, Metazoa, Chordata, Mammalia, Diprotodontia, Vombatidae. The transcript has 3 exons. The record is from RefSeq and is a predicted model, not a curated record.
AAAAUGUGAAAAGACGUGGACCUAUGAAGGAAGAUGCUCUACACCUCCGGAGAAAUAACACAUAAAUAGAACAGAGCUGACCAGUUCUGAGAUGGACCUUGGAUGAAGGGGAAUGAGAUGCUUAUGUCACAUCUUGGCAUAGAUUUUCACUUUUAGAUGUGAACUGAUAUCGACAUUGAAUCAUUGGAAAUAAAGGACACAUAUACAAAAUCCG